AUGUUCCUCAUGGAUCCGGUUGGCAUCCGUUGGCCGCCUCAUCCGUGUUUCCAGCCACAAAGGCCACUUCACAAGGCAGGCUUUGUGCUUUGUUCCCUGCUGAGCGCCCAGAGGAUUGGUUGCCCAGUUUCUCUUGGGAAGGGAUAUAAAGGGAGGAGGUGGACACAGCUGGAGCUUCACUGGUCCUCCCUCGCCAUGAAGCCCUCAACCGUCUUCAUCGUCCUCCUCCUCGCUGUCCUGGCCUUCUCUGGUGAGGCAGCCCCUGACCGCAAGAGAGAGAAGCCCGGGAAUUGCCCAUUUCCAGAUGAAAACAUGAAGUUGUCCCAUUUCCUAUUUUGCAAAAAUGAUUUCCAGUGCCCUGGGAACGAGAAGUGUUGCUACGCGGCAUGCCUUCCUCCUGCUUAAGGAGAGACCUUGGAGGAGGCCUGGAUCCAUGGACAGCGACCACCAGAGAAGUCCGUCUGGAGCUCCUCUGCCCAUCUCUGCUGCUCCACCCAAACCCACAUCCAUCCCGCCCUGCUCCAUCCCCACUUGCCCCGUGGAUGACGGUCCCAAUUCUGCUUUACUAAUCCUCUUCCAUUCACAAUAAAUGCACCAGCCUCCUCAACGUUAAGACUCUGGACUCCUUUUUGGCUUAUGGAGGGGAGGUGGCCUACUUUUGACUGAGGUUCAUUUGAACAAACCUGCUCUCGUUAUUGCCCUGAAAUCCCAGCUUCCUCCUUGGAUAUCCCUCUCCUUCUCCCCGUGCCCCCCAGAUGCCCACAUCUCAUUCCUAGAGGGGCUUCCCCUUGAUCUUAUGGGUCUAGAAGCCGUUUGGGGUUUCAGUUCUGGUUCUGGAGACCCAUCAGUGCUUGGCCUGCUUCUCCUCCUCUUUCCAUGGCUCCAAUUCCAGGCAAGUCUCUCCCUUGGAUUUGGCAGAAGACCCUUCUGGGGAAGCCUGGGCGCAGCUCCUCUUCUCAGAGGGCCUCUCCCCAGUCCUUGCAAGGCUGUCCUACUUCCUUGUGCCCCUUGUUGGGCGAGACAUUGUGGCUCCUGUUGACAUCCACUGGCUAUCUUGCAUCAAUAGGGGAAUAGCAUCUAGAUCCAGGGAAGUCCUGCUCCCCCUUAUUCUAUUCUGCCUUGGUCAGACCACACCUGGAAUCACACUGUGUCCAGUUCUGGGCACCACAGUUGAAGGGAGAUGUUGACAAGCUGGAAAGCGUCCAGAGGAGGGCGACUAAAAUGAUUAAGGGUCUGGAGAACAAGCCCUAUGAGGAGCGGCUUAAAGAGCUGGGCAUGUUUAGCCUGCAGAAGAGAAGGCUGAGAGGAGACAUGAUAGCCAGGUACAAAUACGUGAAGGGAAGUCAUAGGGAAGAGGGAGGGAGCUUGUUUUCUGCUGCCCUGCAGACUAGGAUGCAAGGGAACAAUGGCUUCAAAGGACAGGAAAGGAGAUUCCACCUGAACAUCAGGAAGAACUUCCUCACGGUGAGAAGGGCUGUUCGGCAGUGGAACUCUCUGCCCCGGACUGUGGUGGAGGCUCCAUCUUUGGAGGCUUUGAAGCAGGGGCUGGAUGGCCAUCUGUCGGGGGUGUUUUGAAUGCGAUUUCCUGCUUCUUAGCGGGGGGUUGGACUGGAUGGCCCAUGAGGUCUCUUCCAACUCUACUAUUCUAUGAUUCUAUGAUUCUAUCUCAUCAGUGUUUCUCACCCAGCAAGGCAGGCUUUAUUCCCCGCUCAGUUUCUAAGACUGGGGCUGCCCAACCGCUUUUGGAAAGAGUUAUAAAGGAGGCGGGCAAAGCUGGUGCUUCACUCACUCUUGAAAAACCAAGUCCUCACGUGGCUCAUUGUCCUCCUUGCUCUCCAUCCUUCAAUGCCGCAAUGCCUGCUACCUCAGGGACGGUGAAAAGUGUUAUCUGGACAGAGAUGCCCUUAUUUCCAGAAUGAAUAUGCUCUCCAGAUUAGACCUUGAUCCAAAUGCCCUGGGUAUGUCUCCUUUGUCCAACCCUUCAGAGUCAUUGAAGUGUCGAGAUCUGACCUGAGUAUGGUAAAAAAUGGAGGAUCAUGAAGGUCCGGGAGGUGGGUGACUCAAGGGUGCUAGAGGAUCAUCUCAAGGAGCCCCACUAGCCCUUUAUUUAUUUACAGUAUUUAUAUUCCACCCUUCUUUCUCACCCCGAAGGGGACUCAGGGCAGAUCAUAUUAUACACACAUAGUGUCAGAGACAGAACGCCAGCAAGUGAAACAAAACUCAGUUUAUUGAGGUUAUAGAACUAAAAAACGCCCGUAGGAAACAAAGAACAGGGCAAACACUUGACUUCAGUGUGAUAAGUAACCAAAAAACAGCUCAGUUUGAGCUUAAACGGUUCAAAGGAAUAAACCGGAUUAAACAGAAGUAUAAUCCGGAUUAAAUCAAAGUGCUUACUUCAGCCUGGCAAACAAUGUAAACAAAAGAGGAUCAACAGGAGUCAGAAUGUAAACAACAGACUGGUGGCAGAUUCCUCUCUGCUACUCAGAAACAGCAGGAGAAUAAACCAGGCUUGUUUAUCCCUUCCUGCAGCGGACGAAAGCGUGGUCGUAGUCAGGAUUCAGUUUGAGGUUCAGCGGUCAACGAAAUCUAGGUCCAAGCACAGCGUUCAGGGUAACGGCAGUCAGCGGGGUCCCAAUCCGGUCCAGAGGUCUAUAGCCAAGAGUAGUCGUCCAGAAAUCCAAGAGUCUCACCGAUAGCCAGCAGAAGGGAUAAUCCGGAAUCGAAGUCAAUCAGUCCAGCGUCAAUCCAGUAAGUAGGUAUUGCCCGUCAAAAAGACAACGGAGGUCCAAGCUAUUGAGAUUAAACACAAGUUGCACAGAGAAAAACCCCG
This is a long non-coding RNA of Anolis carolinensis (green anole), 2830 nucleotides long. The record is from Ensembl. Lineage: Eukaryota; Metazoa; Chordata; Lepidosauria; Squamata; Anolidae.